CUGGCUAAUUUUUUGUAUUUUUAGUAGAAACAGGGUUUCACUAUGCUGACCAGACUAGUAUCAAACUCCUGACCUCGUGAUCCACCCACCUUGGCCUCCUAAAGUGCUGGGAUUACAGGCCUGAGCCACCGCACCCAGUGUAUCCUUUUGGCUUCACUGGACAACCCUGGUCAAUGUAGGAGAUGACUAUACAAGGAUAUGAAUAUCACCAGCUUUCCUGACAAAAAAGCUAAGGAGUUUUCAAAUUCAAUAAGCAAGAUGGGAAGGAAGACAUGUCUCAACUAAACCUCUAUCAGGGAACUUCAGCCUAUCAUCACCAGCCUUUCUGUGGGCAGAUGAGGAAAGAGAUGUUGCCAUCUUCCAUCUCUUUGUCUUUCAUUCUUCUCUCCAAAGCCAC
This 397-nucleotide long non-coding RNA is filed under the name Callithrix jacchus (white-tufted-ear marmoset). RNAcentral describes it as "lncRNA (ENSCJAG00000081002.1)". Lineage: Eukaryota; Metazoa; Chordata; Mammalia; Primates; Cebidae. The record is from RNAcentral.